GGCUGAGACACUGCUGGAAGCCGUGGAGAGAAUCGCCAAGUCUGUGGAGGUAUCGCGAAGGCUUGUUUCUGUGAAGGCUAUCAUGUUUUCUUCAAAACCAUGACAUCACUGCAAAGCCACGACACCACUGGAAAGGCCUCAAUUAUUUCUUAUUCUGAGAAUUUUCUCCCUUGGACAGAAAGAAUCCAAGUAAAUACAAGAAAUUAAAUUUAGCCUGCUUCUACACACCUGCAGCAUCCCACAGGCUCCAGACCAAUGAGCUGCCAGUGAGGCUGAGUGAAGAGGGCGGCUGGGUGAGACACCUCUGGAGGGACUGAUGGUCCUUUUGACGGUUCACCACCACUGAGGAGGACACAGUGGGAGGAAUGCAGGAUAGACGCCAGGUUCCCUCACCCUCUGUGAAGUGUCUGUGCGUCAGUGGCGUCACCUGGAAACCGGGGACAACAAUGUUACCUACCUCCCGGGGUGGUUAGGCUCCUUUGAGGCUGACCCCUAAAACAGGACCGGACACCAUCAGCACAGAGUGUGUGCCUGGUGCGGUAAUUACCACUGCUAGGUCUUCCCUGAGAGUACUUUUCCCUGGCCUGCCUAACUUCCACCAUAUAUUUCCAGCUCAUGCCUGCUUGCACUUUUUAAUAUUUCAUGUGUGGUUGCGUGGCCUUCUUGCCUUUUGUUGCCUUUUAACCCGUCAUGCUCGUAAGUUCUUUGAAGGAGUGCUCCAAAGACAUCCACCACCUUCUAAUACCACAGACCUUGAGGCCUGGACUGUAUUGGUUGAAGUGAACAGGUCAAGAAUGAGAAAAGACAAGAGUACGUGUAAAAAUAUAAAAAGUAUUCAAACAUAUAUGCACGUAGGUUCCAAAGACAGAUGACUGAAGUAAACAAAUUCACUGAAACUGUUCUAGAUAAAGAGAAAAACACUAAUGACUUCUUAUUGUUUCCAUCCAGUUUUGAACCAGGGACUUUCCACAUGUUAAGUGAACGGGAUAACCACUACACCACAGAAACAGAUAAUUGUGUGAUUGUUUCAUGAGUCUAAUAAGACUUAUAGUCAUGGACCCUGCCAGGGUCUCUACCCAACCAGGGAGGCAGAGCUCUUAGAACCAUUCCUCGUGGCCCCGGGUAAUAUUGUCUAACUGCCCAGCUCCACCAAUUAGUAGAUCCGGAAGCCGGUCACAUUCAGCAACUCAAAACAAAACAGGGAAUGAAAGAAAGCAGGCAUUGCAGCAAGGAAGGUAAAUGCGGCUUUGGAGGUUUGAGACUAGAUAAUUCUCUCUAUUUUGUCUCUUUCCUCUAGCAAAACAGCUCGAGGGUUUAAGUUUUCACCCAUUUUGAGCUGGAUUGACACUAACAACCUAAAGGAUUAAGGAAAUGGUAAACAUAUUCAAAGAAUAUGAGCUUUGAAUAUAUUUCAUCAAAAUGUAGAUAUAAAUUAGCCAAAAAUAAAAUUAGUUUUACAUAUGCUUCAGAAAUGAUUGUUUCUUCUAAAUUAGGUGGAAUUAUCUAUUAAAAAUAAAAAGGAUAUUGAAAUACCAAAUUCUAAGUCAAUGUUAUUUAAAUAAAGCUGAAAAUUUAAAAUUUGGAAAUGUAAUUAAAUCUUUCCAGUAUUUUCUAAAAAUAAAACUAAUCAAUUCUAGCAUUGAAUGUCCAUAUUUGGGAUGAGGCUUAACACAUGGUAUAUGUAGAUCUCUAUAUCUGCAAAUGUAAGAUUAUUAUUGAUGGUUUAAUAUUGCAAAAUGGGUUUUUUUGGUCACCUAUGCUGAUUCUGUGGAGACAGGAAUUGGAAUAGAGGUGGAGUUCUGCUGAGUCGGGAUCCUUGAGCGUUUUCAAUUUGUAAGCCCCUAUCCACCAAACCACUGGGCAGGAGGUCCUCUUUUAUGAGUCUAGUUCUCUCAUCAAGAUCACCAGGGGCCUGCAGGUGGCCCAAUCCAUAGAGGCCUUAUCACAUUCCUUUACUAGACCAUGUAUGGAAUUUGACUCUAUAGAUCUGUUCCUCUUUUUUUUUGUACAUCUUGACUCCCUUGGCCUCAGUGGAAGCUUCAUUGCUAGCUUUACUCCUAUUCUGACUCCUCCAUCUGUCUACUCAGGACUAUCUCCCUGGAGAAUCACACUGCGAUUGACAGCUUGACCCAACCUCUACCCCACCCAUCUGUGGCUCCAGCAAAGACAGCUCUCCCCAAGCUUCAGAUACAUGUGUCUUGGACGUUUCGACAUGUCCAACCUGUUCAAGACUGAACUCCUUACUUCUCUCUCACCCCCCCCCCCACUCCUUAGUGUUAGAAGGUGGAGAGCCAGUAAUGUAUCCUCUAGAGUGAGAAGGCACAUUAAGAGAGGAAAAAUAAAGCAAGCCACUCCAUAUCGCUUAUGGUGAGUUUCAUUCAGGAUAACUUACUGAGGGACUAUGGGUGGGGACAGACCAUCCAGGCGGUGCUGGGCCAUUCUCCACAGCUAUUCUUUGUGCAGUCCAGACCUUAAUCCCUAGAUUUUAUGGAAUGAGGAAUACGGUGGUGAGGUCAGAGGGUAGUUAUCUAAAGUGGCGCCAUCUGUACAUCAAAGGAUCUCUACUAGUUACCUAGAGUGGUGCCUCCUGUGUGCCACUUUAGGGAAGAUCAGAACAAGCCUUCCCAAAUUCUGUGUCAUAACAUUAAUUAACCUCCACGGGCCUGGAACAUGUAGUGGGAGGGAGGUCAUUGCCCUGGCUUGAAGAGGAUGGAGGGCCAAAAGUGGAGUCAGUGUUGGCCGUACUCCUGCCCUCAGACUUUGAUUUCUGUUACUAAACCAUCUAAAGCAGAACCCAAGGAGCCCCCUCUCCUGCCCAGGUAUAAACCAUGCACCUAGUUCCUUCACCCACUUCUCCCAUCUGACUACUGCCUCCCACUGCUGUGCUGUUUCCUGUCUAGAACAGGACUGUGUAUCUCCAGUUCCUCUCUCUGACUCAGUCUCACUCCCAUCACACCUUCUGGUCACCGUUCCUGAAGGAUUUACCUUCUGAAAGGUAAAUCAGAGAGAGUCUUUCUGCCUCCAUAUGGCCACUUUCGCCAAGGAGGAUAAAGACCCAAACUCCUCCUUUCCUUGUGUUUACUGAAUGUCUGAACUGAUCAGCGCUUGCCUCUUUUGUGCUAAGAGCAGCGAUCACUUACCAUGUGGAGGCCAAGAAAAACAAGGCUGUACCCACCUCGAGUCUAGCCCUGACAUAAGCACAGCCAUCUUGACAAAGCAAAAGCUGGCACCUUGUGCCUCCUCUCCACCCACUCCCCUCCCCUCUGUAGUAUGUGUGACAUUCCUCAGGCACCCCUGGCUGCCCUAAAAGAAAAACAAAUAGUUAACUUGCAGAGAUCACAAUCCUGCAAGACAGGAGUCUCCCUUGGUUUACAAAUGUCCUAGAGAUUUACAACAAAGAAGCUAUCUUAACAAUAAUGUUGCCCUCCCCACCAUAAAACUAAAGGAGACUGAUGCAGAAGGAAAUGUAAAUAAAGUUAAAUUUCUUCUAAACCUAAAUCUCACUAACAAGGACACUUGAUAGGAGAAAUGUGAAACUUUAUCUCUAAACCUCCAAAAUAGUGUCAGCAAUCAUUCCCAAACAUAUGACCCAGUGAUAUACAUCUAAAGGGUCUCAUGAGGAGAUUUUUUAUUACUGAUAAUGAAUAACCUUUUCCCCAGACAAAAGCUGGCCCCUCAAGGUCCUGGAGACCUCGCUUCCAAAAUUCCUUAGAGACUUACAUCAUCAUAACCCCCUUUUUCCUCACCCACUGCCGAGUCCACCCCUACUCUGCUUUUUAAAAACUCUGACUGUAAUCUGGCUCAGGAUCCAAGUCCCUACUCUGCUGUGUCAGGUAUACUUGGGCCCAAGCUUAAACUUGUCAAAUAAACC
Long non-coding RNA from Mustela lutreola (European mink), 3871 nucleotides. RefSeq lists it as uncharacterized. The transcript is spliced from 4 exons. NCBI's taxonomy places the organism in Eukaryota, Metazoa, Chordata, Mammalia, Carnivora, Mustelidae. The record is from RefSeq and is a predicted model, not a curated record.